CAGGUGCAUGCCUCUAGCAUGAAGUCAGACA
RNAcentral lists this ribosomal RNA (31 nucleotides) under Symbiodinium sp. Two0410-14. RNAcentral's name for it is "partial 28S ribosomal RNA". Lineage: Eukaryota; Dinophyceae; Suessiales; Symbiodiniaceae. The record is from RNAcentral. RNAcentral also lists the same sequence under 2 other names.